Long non-coding RNA from Epinephelus fuscoguttatus (brown-marbled grouper), 212 nucleotides. RefSeq lists it as uncharacterized. The record is from RefSeq and is a predicted model, not a curated record. Lineage: Eukaryota; Metazoa; Chordata; Actinopteri; Perciformes; Serranidae. The transcript has 3 exons.
GUGUUUUUACUCUGAGGUAUCAGUACUUGUAAUAAAGUGUUUUACUCUGAGGUAUCAGUACUUGUAUUCAAGUGUUUUACUCUGUGUUAUCAGUACUUGUAUUAAAGUGUUUUACUCUGAGGUAUCAGUACUUGUAUUAAAGUGUUUUACUCUGAGGUAUCAGUACUUGUAUUAAAGUGUUUUACUCUGUGUUAUCAGUACUUGUAUUAAAG